GGACGAACGCUGGCGGCGUGCUUAACACAUGCAAGUCGAACGCUGAAGGCCUGGCUUUUGUUGGGUUGGAUGAGUGGCGAACGGGUGAGUAACACGUGAGUAACCUGCCCUCUUCUUUGGGAUAACGCCCGGAAACGGGUGCUAAUACUGGAUAUUCACUGAUCUUCGCAUGGGGGUUGGUGGAAAGGUUUGUUCUGGUGGGGGAUGGGCUCGCGGCCUAUCAGCUUGUUGGUGGGGUGAUGGCCUACCAAGGCUUUGACGGGUAGCCGGCCUGAGAGGGUGACCGGUCACAUUGGGACUGAGAUACGGCCCAGACUCCUACGGGAGGCAGCAGUGGGGAAUAUUGCACAAUGGGCGAAAGCCUGAUGCAGCGACGCCGCGUGAGGGAUGGAGGCCUUCGGGUUGUAAACCUCUUUCGCUCAUGGUCAAGCCGCAACUGUGGGUUGUGGUGAGGGUAGUGGGUAAAGAAGCGCCGGCUAACUACGUG
Molecule: ribosomal RNA, 487 nt
Filed under: uncultured bacterium
Lineage: Bacteria
Description: partial 16S ribosomal RNA
Rfam family: Bacterial small subunit ribosomal RNA
Source: RNAcentral